GGACUCAAACUCAUGAACUGUGAGAUCAUGAUCUGAGCCCAAAUCAAGAGUCGGAUGCUUAACUGACCGAGCCACCCAAGCACCCCUCGAUAUAAUUAUUAAUGCUAUAUUGUAUAUACGUAUUUUUUUUUUCAAAGUCAGUCUUUGGAAUUCAGUGUGUAUUUUACACUUAUAGCACAUCUCAAUUUAGAUGAGUCGUGUGCUCAGUAGUCAUGCGGUUAGUGUUACCAUAUUGGACAGUGAAGCUCUAAUCAGAGAUGGAGCCCCAUGUCUGUACUAAAAGUAGAGAUAGCAUGUUGUUUAAGAAGCCCAGUUGUUUGAACCAGACUUCUUGAUUGAAUAUUGGCUCAGCCACUAGCUGUGUGACCUUAGACCAGUCCCUUAACCAUUCUGUGCCUUAACUGUCUCAUCUGUAAAAUGGGCCUAACAAGACUUAUAGGUUAUUGUGAAGAGUAUGUAAGUGCUUAGGGCAACAUGUGGCACAUAGUAGUAUUUGCUCAAUCAAGGCUGGCCGUCUGGAUCUCUGCAUGAUGAGAACCUUGGCCCCAAACAAUUGUUAGCUGAGAGACUGAAUGAAAGAAAUAGUCCUUUGCCCUGCAGCAGAAUGAAGCAGAAAAAGCUGGUUGGGGUGAGUGAGUUUUGUCUGGAGAAAUUGGAACAGGACUGGAGAAGAGAAGGCUGUGGGUGGCUGGCAGAAGGCCCUUCAGAGGGCCCGACGGAGGUUUAUAGCUGUGCUGCCAUGGAAUUUGGAAACAGUAACAGAGCAGCAUAAGGCCGAUAUGAUUCAUUGCUGAAAUGAAGCUUCUGGGGUUCUAAGAAGGGAGGUCUAGAGCUCUGAAGCCUUCAAAGAGCAGGGUGAGGUUUAGAAAACCAGCCAGCAGUGGGUGAUGGGGAGUUUGCUGAGUGCUUGGAGAAAGGGACUAGUUAGGGCAACUAGUCAGGCCCACCCCUCCUGCAGGUACCCUCCCUCCCUGGCGUCUGGCCUCUAGAAGGCAGCAGUUAACGGCUGCGGGCUGCAUUUUGAGGCCACAGCGCCCUCUGCUGGAUUUGAGGGACCUGGGGCAGCAGCAAGAGUAAAUGGUACUGGAAUUUAGGGGAAGGGGUGACAAAACGCUGUGCGCGCCAAGUUCUGUACCAGAUAGAGUCCUUCCUGAUCCCCAGAUACCCCCCAGGAGAUCACACAAUCGGAAUCCCUUGACGAGGACGGAGGAAGUUGAUGGAAAAUGAUCAACUUCUGGGACACCUGAGGGGGCUCAGUCGGUUGAGCGUCCCACUUUGGCUCAGGUCAUAAUCUCGAGCUAAUGCUUAUAUAGCCCUACUAUGCGCCAGGUGCUAUUCUUUGACACAGCUGACAGACAGCAGAGCCAGACGGAACUGAGCAGCAUAAGGCUCACCAUAAGUCUGACACCAGUGUGUUUACUGAAACUCCAUGAGAUCUACUGCUUCUCGAAAAUAAUCAAGACUAGUUUUCUCCUUUAUGUGAGAUAUAGUGAGGCCAAGCGCUUCAGAAAAAGUUGCCAAGAGCAAGUCACAAACCAUUCUGGUGGAAAUGCUGAGCCAAGCUGGGACGGGUUACUUCCUCAACACUAAGAGAAGCCGACUCCGGGAGAAACUGACUCUUCUACGUUAUGAUCUGAUUGUGAAAACAAAAGUCCUCUUUGUGGAACAGAAAAACAUACACUCCCUCUAAACAAUGGAUUGAAAAUGAAUUUGAUUUAUAAAUGAGAAGACUGAGGGCGGGAUACUGAUUCAGAAAUUCUGCAGCGUGUAAUAGAAGAAAUGGCAGGGAACCACUGCCUCCUGUGAUUUGAAGGCCACUGUGAAGGAAAACAAUGUACUGAAAGUUUUUCAUAUUAGGACAUAUAUCAUUGCAUCACGUUCAUUUAUCUUUCUGGAUAUUUUCAUAGCCCUUAAUAAAAAAUAUUAAAAUAGAAAAAGGAAAUAAAACACAAUUUUUAAAAAUUGCUUUAAGGGACCCCGGGUGGCUCAGUCGGUUAAGCCUCCGACUCUUGGUUUCGCUCGCAUCAUGAUCUCGGGGUAUUGUGCGUUGGAGGCCUGCAUGGGGCUCUGUGCUGACAGCUCAGAGCCUGCUUGGGAUUCUCUUUCCCUCUCUCUCUGCCUCUUUCCUGCUCCGGGGCAUGCAGGCUCUCUCUGUGUCUAUCUCUCAAAAUAAAUA
Molecule: long non-coding RNA, 2176 nt
Organism: Felis catus (domestic cat)
Lineage: Eukaryota; Metazoa; Chordata; Mammalia; Carnivora; Felidae
Exons: 3
Source: RefSeq, a predicted model, not a curated record